UAGGGAAUCUUCCGCAAUGGGCGAAAGCCUGACGGAGCAAUGCCGCGUGAGUGAAGAAGGCCUUCGGGUCGUAAAACUCUGUUAUAAGAGAAGAACAAAUUGUAGAGUAACUGCUACAGUCUUGACGGUAUCUUAUCAGAAAGCCACGGCUAACUACGUGCCAGCAGCCGCGGUAAUACGUAGGUGGCAAGCGUUGUCCGGAUUUAUUGGGCGUAAAGGGAGCGCAGGUGGUUUCUUAAGUCUGAUGUGAAAGCCCACGGCUUAACCGUGGAGGGUCAUUGGAAACUGGGAAACUUGAGUACGGAAGGGGAAUGUGGAACUCCAUGUGUAGCGGUGGAAUGCGUAGAUAUAUGGAAGAACGCCAGUGGGGAGGGCGACAUUCUGGUCUGUUACUGACACGGAGGCUCGAAAGCGUGGGGAGCAAACAGG
Molecule: ribosomal RNA, 429 nt
Filed under: Acidobacteriota bacterium
Lineage: Bacteria; Pseudomonadati; Acidobacteriota
Description: Acidobacteria bacterium partial 16S ribosomal RNA
Rfam family: Bacterial small subunit ribosomal RNA
Source: RNAcentral